Molecule: long non-coding RNA, 595 nt
Organism: Trichomycterus rosablanca
Lineage: Eukaryota; Metazoa; Chordata; Actinopteri; Siluriformes; Trichomycteridae
Exons: 10
Source: RefSeq, a predicted model, not a curated record
CUUGCCCUUCUCUCUCGCUCUUUCUCUCGCUGUGCUCUUUGCCUGGUUCUGUAGUGAUGGUGGAACACUGGUCGUGUGGAAUGCAUCGACAACGCCUGGCUGAAGGUCAGUUAGAAUGUCGGUUGUCUGCACCACCCUAGGCAACAAAGGAAGCAUAUCUACUGGCAAGAUGUUUUCCUUCAAGCUGGAUCUUGAGCUGCUGAAAAUGUGGAAUGGUGGCUGAUCCAUCCUCAGUGAUGCAAGUUGAUUCCAAGUUAAAGGGUAAAAAUCAUGCUGAAAGAACCAUGAUGUCCCUUUCAGGUUGGCUUAGUCUGUGGAGUCGUAGCUCCUGUUGUGUUCCAGAUAUCUAAUUAAAAGGCUGAUCACCUUACAGACAGGGACCCCUGUGCACAGAUCCAGAUUUAAUCACUGGUGUGGAGUCCCUGCUUCAGCUGUUUCUGCUCAUGAAAUGAUGGGAGUGACUUGGUGAGAUGAAAUGGUGCAUGGAGCUUCACAAGCUUAAAGCAGCUGCUACUGGAGUGACUUGCUCCUAGAUGAUCACUGAUUUUUGUAUUUUUUUUUUGUUUAUUUUAAUAAAUAAUCAUUUGCCUACUAA